Molecule: transfer RNA, 63 nt
Filed under: Tullbergia mixta
Lineage: Eukaryota; Metazoa; Arthropoda; Collembola; Poduromorpha; Tullbergiidae
Description: tRNA-Leu
Source: RNAcentral
GUUAAUGUGGCAGACACAAGUGCAUUAGGUUUAAGCCCUAAAAAUAAUCAAAAUUCUUUAAUA